UGGGGAAUAUUGGACAAUGGGGGGAACCCUGAUCCAGCCAUGCCGCGUGUGUGAAGAAGGCCUUAUGGUUGUAAAGCACUUUAAGCGCGGAGGAGGGUACUGGUAUUAAUACUACCAGCUACUGGACGUUACUCGCAGAAUAAGUACCGGCUAACUCUGUGCCAGCAGCCGCGGUAAUACAGAGGGUGCGAGCGUUAAUCGGAUUUACUGGGCGUAAAGCGUGCGUAGGCGGCUAAUUGAGUCGGAUGUGAAAUCCCCGAGCUUAACUUGGGAAUUGCAUUCGAUACUGGUUAGCUAGAGUGUGGGAGAGGAUGGGAGGAUUCCAGGUGUAGCGGGGAAAAGCGUAGAGAUCUGGAGGAAUACCGAUGGCGAAGGCAGCCAUCUGGCCUAACACUGACGCUGAAAUACGAAAGCAUGGGGAGCAAACAGG
This 430-nucleotide ribosomal RNA is filed under the name Pseudomonadota bacterium. RNAcentral's name for it is "Proteobacteria bacterium partial 16S ribosomal RNA". It matches the Rfam family "Bacterial small subunit ribosomal RNA", at positions 355 to 776 of the family's 1533-position model. The record is from RNAcentral. Lineage: Bacteria; Pseudomonadati; Pseudomonadota.